Molecule: ribosomal RNA, 494 nt
Filed under: uncultured bacterium
Lineage: Bacteria
Description: partial 16S ribosomal RNA
Rfam family: Bacterial small subunit ribosomal RNA
Source: RNAcentral
GACGAACGCUGGCGGCGUGCUUAACACAUGCAAGUCGAACGGAAAGGCCUGCUUUCCCUUGUGGAUUGCGGGUACUCGAGUGGCGAACGGGUGAGUAACACGUGAGUGAUCUGCCCCCAACUUGGGUAUAAGCCUGGGAAACUGGGUCUAAUUCCCGAUAGGACUGCAGGGUGGUGCCUGUGGUGGAAAACGAUUUUCUAGUGGUUGGGGAUGAGCUCGCGGCCUAUCAGCUUGUUGGUGGGGUAAUGGCCUACCAAGGCGGCGACGGGUAGCCGGCCUGGGGGGGGGGGCGGCCACGUGGGGACGAAAACCAGCGCGAAGCGCCGAGGGGGGGAGGGAGGGGGGAAUAGUAAACAAGGGGGGGGCGCGGGAUGCGGCGAGGCGGGGGGGGGGAUGCGGGCUUUGGGUUUGAAAACCCCUGUGGACGGAGAGGAAGCCCCUGGGUGGAAGGGGGGGGGAGGGUAGUGAAAAAAGAAGCCCCGGCUAAUUAGGUG